GUUAAAGUAUAUCUCUUGUAUAAGUUUCUGUCUAGCCUCUUCAUAAUUUUCACAAAAUAGUAAAUAAUGUUCCACAGUUUCUAAUUGACCAUAGUACUAUAUGAUAAAAGGACGAGUUGGCGAAGGUACGAGUUGACAUCAUUCCGAGGACGAAGACAUGUGAAAUCGAAAGUAGACUUAAUUUUUACUGUGUUUUGUGUAUUAUGUAUACCUUAUCAUCUGUUUCAGUCUUGUUAAAUUACAUUUAUUUAACAGCUGUUGCUGUAAAUCUUUACUUUGACUGUACACACUGUUAAAAAUCUCCCUUUGUCGGGCUUUGAUUAACAAACAACAAACAAAUCGGAUAAUUCUG
This 352-nucleotide long non-coding RNA is filed under the name Mytilus galloprovincialis (Mediterranean mussel). The record is from RNAcentral. Lineage: Eukaryota; Metazoa; Mollusca; Bivalvia; Mytilida; Mytilidae.